This 68-nucleotide transfer RNA is filed under the name pig gut metagenome. It matches the Rfam family "tRNA". Rfam says of the family: Transfer RNA (tRNA) molecules are approximately 80 nucleotides in length. The record is from RNAcentral.
CGGAUGUAGUUUAGUGGUAGAACUUCAGCCUUCCAAGCUGACCACGGGAGUUCGAUUCUCCUCAUCCG